RNAcentral lists this ribosomal RNA (253 nucleotides) under uncultured bacterium. RNAcentral describes it as "partial 16S ribosomal RNA". It matches the Rfam family "Bacterial small subunit ribosomal RNA", at positions 524 to 776 of the family's 1533-position model. The record is from RNAcentral.
UACGUAGGGUGCAAGCGUUAAUCGGAAUUACUGGGCGUAAAGCGUGCGCAGGCGGUUCUAUAAGACAGAUGUGAAAUCCCCGAGCUCAACCUGGGAACUGCAUUUGUGACUGUAGAGCUGGAGUGCGGCAGAGGGGGAUGGAAUUCCGCGUGUAGCAGUGAAAUGCGUAGAUAUGCGGAGGAACACCGAUGGCGAAGGCAAUCCCCUGGGCCUGCACUGACGCUCAUGCACGAAAGCGUGGGGAGCAAACAGG